This 615-nucleotide ribosomal RNA is filed under the name uncultured bacterium. Its description in RNAcentral is "bacterial SSU rRNA". It matches the Rfam family "Bacterial small subunit ribosomal RNA", at positions 1 to 585 of the family's 1533-position model. The record is from RNAcentral.
GGUACUCGCGAANNCCAUCUGGUUAAGAGUUUGAUCAUGGCUCACAUUGAACNUUNUGGCGGCAGGCCUAACACAUGCAAGUCGAACGGUAACAGGAAGCAGCUUGCUGCUUUGCUGACGAGUGGCGGACGGGUGAGUAAUGUCUGGGAAACUGCCUGAUGGAGGGGGAUAACUACUGGAAACGGUAGCUAAUACCGCAUAACGUCGCAAGACCAAAGAGGGGGACCUUCGGGCCUCUUGCCAUCGGAUGUGCCCAGAUGGGAUUAGCUAGUAGGUGGGGCAACGGCUCACCUAGGCGACGAUCCCUAGCUGGUCUGAGAGGAAGACCAGCCACACUGGAACUGAGACACGGUCCAGACUCCUACGGGAGGCAGCAGUGGGGAAUAUUGCACAAUGGGCGCAAGCCUGAUGCAGCCAUGCCGCGUGUAUGAAGAAGGCCUUCGGGUUGUAAAGUACUUUCAGCGGGGAGGAAGGCGAUAAGGUUAAUAACCUUGUCGAUUGACGUUACCCGCAGAAGAAGCACCGGCUAACUCCGUGCCAGCAGCCGCGGUAAUACGGAGGGUGCAAGCGUUAAUCGGAAUUACUGGGCGUAAAGCGCACGCAGGCGGUCUGUUC